This 21-nucleotide microRNA is filed under the name Cucumis melo (muskmelon). Lineage: Eukaryota; Viridiplantae; Streptophyta; Magnoliopsida; Cucurbitales; Cucurbitaceae. The record is from RNAcentral.
UAGCCAAAAAUGACUUGCCUG